GGGGGAUUUUCCGCAAUGGGCGCAAGCCUGACGGAGCAAGACCGCGUGAGGGAGGAAGGCUCUUGGGUUGUAAACCUCUUUUAUCAGGGAAGAAGAUCUGACGGUACCUGAUGAAUCAGCAUCGGCUAACUCCGUGCCAGCAGCCGCGGUAAUACGGAGGAUGCAAGCGUUAUCCGGAUUUAUUGGGCGUAAAGCGUCCGCAGGUGGUUUUACAAGUCUGCUGUCAAAGCGCGAGGCUUAACCUCGUACAGGCGGUGGAAACUGUGAGACUAGAGUAUGGUAGGGGUAGCGGGAAUUCCCAGUGUAGCGGUGAAAUGCGUAGAUAUUGGGAAGAACACCAGCGGCGAAAGCGCGCUACUGGGCCAUUACUGACACUCAUGGACGAAAGCUAGGGGAGCGAAAGGGAUUAGAUACCCCUGUAGUCCUAGCUGUAAACGAUGGAUACUAGGUGUUGCCCGUAUCGACCCGGGCAGUGCCGUAGCUAACGCGUUAAGUAUCCCGCCUGGGGAGUAUGCACGCAAGUGUGAAACUCAAAGGAAUUGACGGGGGCCCGCACAAGCGGUGGAGUAUGUGGUUUAAUUCGAUGCAACGCGAAGAACCUUACCAAGGCUUGACAUGUCGCGAACUCUUGUGAAAGUGAGAGGUGCCUUCGGGAGCGCGAACACAGGUGGUGCAUGGCUGUCGUCAGCUCGUGUCGUGAGAUGUUGGGUUAAGUCCCGCAACGAGCGCAACCCUCGUUUUUAGUUGCCAGCAUUCAGUUGGGCACUCUAGAGAGACUGCCGGUGACAAACCGGAGGAAGGUGGGGAUGACGUCAAGUCAGCAUGCCCCUUACGUCUUGGGCUACACACGUACUACAAUGCUACGGACAAAGGGUUGCGAGCUAGCGAUAGCAAGCUAAUCCCAUAAACCGUGGCUCAGUUCAGAUUGCAGGCUGCAACUCGCCUGCAUGAAGGAGGAAUCGCUAGUAAUCCCAGGUCAGCAUACUGGGGUGAAUACGUUCCCGGGCCUUGUACACACCGCCCGUCACACCAUGGGAGUUGGCCACGCCCGAAGUCGUUACUCCAACCUUUCGAGGAGGAGGAUGCCGAAGGCAGGGCUGAUGACUGGGGUGAAGUCGUAACAAGGUAGCCGUACCGGAAGGUGUGGCUGGAUCACCUCCU
This 1161-nucleotide ribosomal RNA is filed under the name Stenomitos sp. WJT24-NPBG20. RNAcentral describes it as "bacterial SSU rRNA". It matches the Rfam family "Bacterial small subunit ribosomal RNA", at positions 356 to 1531 of the family's 1533-position model. Lineage: Bacteria; Bacillati; Cyanobacteriota; Cyanophyceae; Leptolyngbyales; Leptolyngbyaceae. The record is from RNAcentral.